GGAUGUGAGGGCUGUGAUGUCUGUCACCCCAUUGAUCGCCAGGGUGUGGCUGUGACCUCUUUCACUCCAUUGAUCACCAGGGUUGAUUCGGCUGAUCUGGCUGGCUAGCCGGGUGUCCCCUUCCUCUCACUGCUCCAUGUGCGUCCCUUCUGAAGCUGCGCUCCCACCGCACAGUGGAAGAGGACCGACCUUCCCCAAUCGAGGAGGACUGCUCUUCAAUCAAGGGUAUCGGAGUAGCUGUGCUCCCCUGCGAGAACCUCCCAGUAAGCUCUCAAGGUUUGUUUUACCUAGUGGGUUAUCACUGAAGGAAGAUAAACAGAAGCCCACCUUCUGGUGAGCUAAAGGAGGGUUUCUGU
Molecule: unclassified non-coding RNA, 356 nt
Organism: Mustela putorius furo (domestic ferret)
Lineage: Eukaryota; Metazoa; Chordata; Mammalia; Carnivora; Mustelidae
Gene: 7SK
Rfam family: 7SK RNA
About the family: 7SK was discovered as an abundant small nuclear RNA in the mid-70s but a possible function has only recently been suggested.
Source: Ensembl